Acanthochromis polyacanthus (spiny chromis) is the source of this 2793-nucleotide long non-coding RNA. RefSeq lists it as uncharacterized. The transcript is spliced from 3 exons. The record is from RefSeq and is a predicted model, not a curated record. NCBI's taxonomy places the organism in Eukaryota, Metazoa, Chordata, Actinopteri, Pomacentridae.
UCUAGAACUUUCUCCAGUUGUCGGUAGGUCCGCUCUAGAACUUUCUCCAGUUGUCGGUAGGUCUACUCUAGAACUUUCUCCAGCUGUCGGUAGGUCCGCUCUAGAACUUUCUCCAGUUGUCGGUAGGUCUACUCUAGAACUUUCUCCAGCUGUCGGUAGGUCCGCUCUAGAACUUUCUCCAGCUGUUGGUAGGUCCGCUCUAGAACUUUCUCCAGUUGUCGGUAGGUCCGCUCUAGAACUUUCUCCAGCUGUCGGUAGGUCUACUCUAGAACUUUCUCCAGCUGUCGGUAGGUCCGCUCUAGAACUUUCUCCAGCUGUUGGUAGGUCCGCUCUAGAACUUUCUCCAGCUGUCGGUAGGUCUACUCUAGAACUUUCUCCAGCUGUCGGUAGGUCCGCUCUUGAACUUUCUCCAGUUGUCGGUAGGUCUACUCUAGAACUUUCUCCAGGAGACGUUCUCCUCUAUGGACUUCAAGGACCUGGAACUCUGCAAAUAUUCCCAGUAUGAAGGUAGAACUCUGAUCAUUGAUAAAGUUACUGGACAUGAAGAACCAGAUGUUCUGAGGAGGUUUUGGGGGAACUUUUAGCAGAUUUAUUUCUCUUUCAACCUUCAGCUGAACAAAUUACCUCAAUGAUGAAAUAUGUUAGCGUUUAGUAAAUGUCGUUGAUGUUGAAGUUUAGAUCUUCAUUAUCCAGUUUUCAACCUUGAGAUCCUGGCUGACGCUCACUGGGAUGUUUGAUGCUCUUGUUCCUUAAGGCAGUGUUUAUCUUCAUCUGCUGUUGGUUUAUUUUUAACCUGAUGUGUCGCUGUGACUGACAGCAGCAUCCUCAUGUCACCUCCAGUCUUUUCUCUUCACAUCUCCUGAGUUCUCCCUCAGUUUUCUGCCUUCAGCAUCACAUUCUUCCUGUUUAUUCUCUUAUUCUUAAACUUGUUUUCCUCUAAAUCUGCAUUAGCUUCCUGAUUCUUUAGGGUUAAACUGAGCCUUUUGGUUUUUAGCUGUAAUCAACAGAACAUACAUCUCUGUGGUAAUCAGACCUACAGUGUUGUUGCUCUCUUUGGUUUCCUCGUCUUGUUUCGUAUCUUUGCAAAGCUGUGAUUGAAGCAUCCUUUUCAUUUAAUCACUGAAGAGUAAACACACGGUCAUCUGGUAUUCAUGUGAAAGUGCUGUCGGCCUCCACAAGGAUAAUCUUUAAAUGAAAAUGAAAAUAUGUCCACGUCCUUGUUCCCCUCUGACGGUCGUCCACAGAACCAGGACCUCCACCUGAAGGUCUUCCCUUUGUUUAGGUCCAUCAAUGUGAACGGUUCUCCAAGAUUAAUAAAUUUAAUUUGGCUUUUUUCCACAAGAACUUAAAAAAAUAAUUCAGAGCAAAAAAAAAAAAAUGUCAGUUCAUUAACAUAUUCUCAGUUGGAUGAUGCUGCCUCCACCAUGCUUCACAGUGGGGAUGGUGUGUUUGGGAUGAUCUUCAGUGUUUGGUGUCCAUCAAACAUAUCAUCUAGUCUGAUGGUCAUAAAGCUCCAUCCUGGUCUCCUCAGACCAAAGAACCUUCUUCCAGGUGUCUUCAGAGUCUCCACGUCUUCCGGUGAACUCUCGUCCACAUUUAAUUGGAGCUUUUUCCAUCACAGUCUUUCUCUUUGUCUCCAUGAAGCUUUGACUGGUGAAGAACAGACAACAGUUGUUGGAUGAACAGUCUGAAGCUGGAACUCCUUCAGAGGAGUCAUAGGAGUCUUGGUGGCCUCCCUCUCUAGUCUCUCAGGUCUUGAGGACGUCCUGCUCUAGUCAGAUCCAUUCAUGUUCCAUCUUCCUUCCAUUUCUUAAUGAUGGAUUUAACUGGACUUCAGGAGAUCUUCAGGAACUCAGAAAUGUUCUUGUAUCGUCCUGACUGAUGUUUUUAGACAACUUUUUCUCAGAGUUUCUUGGAGUUUUCUUUAGUCUUCAUGGUGUAGUUCUAUCCAGGAGUUCUGAUCCAGCAGAGACUGGACCUCCCAGAUCCAGGAGUCUUUAUCCUACAAUCACUGACCUCAGAUCAUCAUCUACUUCUUGCUGACUUCUAGAACCAAAUGGCUGCACCUGAGUUCAAUUAGAGUCCCUUUAAAGUCAUUUGAAGGCAUUUUGAUUGAAGCAUCUCUGAGAACCUGCAGUUCUUCUGUGGGUUCAGGUUGUGUUCAUACAGAGUCCUAAUUUAAAUAAAAAGCUACAUUUCCAGUCAAACCUUUGAAGUAUUGAGUCCUACCUCUGGCUGAACAGUAUUUCAAAUGCAGGGAAAAAGAAAAUCUAAAGUGCUUCAGCUGGAAACGAGGUUGGAAAAGGUUCAGUUCAAAGAGGAGGAGGGUUGUGUUUAGUGUGAGACAUGGAGGACUCUUCAUACAUGAUAGAUGUAAACCAGCAUGAAUAGAAAUUAAACAUCAAUCAGUCUGUAUAUUCAGACCUCAGAGAGACUCUGAAUGAUGUUCAGCUUCUCCUCUGGUGUAAAUCACUCUCCAAACCAGCUCUAUGGUUGUCACACACUGAAAAAACGCAUAGAAGCACAUUUAAAGUAACAUCUGACAUCGUUUUACCUGCGUAGUCCAGCUGGAACCGAAAGAACCGUCUCUGAACUGUGAGACCUUUACUUCAAUCAGAGAAAACAUCAAAUCUAAGCUUUAAAUUGACAUUUCAUCAAAGAGUCUUCAUCUCUGAUCACUGCUAGUGAAGCUGAUCACAUCUUUAGGGGUUUAUGAGGUAUUCUCUGUAUUUAAAUGUUUUUUUCUAAAAGUCUUUUGAUUGAAUUUGAACUAAUUAAUAAUUCCUUCUGAAG